Long non-coding RNA from Bubalus bubalis (water buffalo), 6108 nucleotides. RefSeq lists it as uncharacterized. The record is from RefSeq and is a predicted model, not a curated record. Lineage: Eukaryota; Metazoa; Chordata; Mammalia; Artiodactyla; Bovidae. The transcript has 3 exons.
CUGGGUUGUCCCAGUGCACCAGCCCCAAGCAUCCAGUAUUGUGCAUCAAGAUGCAUUUUUGAAAAGCAUUUUUUUUUUAAACAAGUAUUCAAGAUGCAUCUUUUCUAGGCUUUUUUCUUUUCAAGUAACGGAGAAGUAACUUUAUAACUGGAAAAAGGUCAUUGAAGAGCAAGUCUAGGCUUUCUUCCACCUCCAUUUACGUUAUUAAGGCCCAGAAAACAGAAGACAACCUAUUCACAUUUCAAAGCAUAGUAGAUGAUGUAUUUGUUAUCAUUGAAAAUGCACAUUGAUAAGAGCCAUGAAGACUGGGAGCUUGAUCAGCAGUGUUUCCGUGCUUGCGAGGUCAACCUGAACCCCUGGGAGCCUGCCUUCUGUGACCGUCACACCAGCAGGGCGGAGUGCUGCUACAGACAGCUGCACUGAGUCCCGACCUGCGAUCUCAGUGACGCUGCCCAGGAACCCACACAGUUCCUCUUGGGUGUUGGGCACCUGUUCCCACCUAAGCUGUUCUCCACUGUCCCUUAAUCUAUCUUCUCUCUGAAGGAGGGAUCCCUCCUCAUGCUUCACAGAGAAUUUGAAGCCAUCCAAGAGGACGUUGGUCAUUCUCUUCUGCACUCCAAAUUCAGUGCUUCACACAUGCUAUGUGACACCACAGUUAUCCACGCCCCCGCUUUCUGGAGUCUCCCAGAAACGUCCCACAUGCUGUAGCAUCUCCUUGCUUGAGAGGGUGGGGAAACAGAUGCAAACGUUCUCUAUCUUCUGGCCACCACUCCAGCUCUCUAGUCCCUGUAACAGCCAUGCUUCUUUGAAUGUUCACUUCACUUGAUCACUCCCCUCCCCAGUCUCGCCUCACUCUUCAACCCAUUCUGAUUUGCCUCCCACCCACCAUUCCACUGAAACUGACCUUGCUAAGGUCUUACUACCAGUUAGGCUUCUUCUCAGACUUCCUUUACAUCUAACAGCAUUCCUGCCGCAGCUCCCAGACUCUACAUCUUCUCUGAGAGUCAGUGAAGAAAAAUGAUCCCCAGGAUUCCCAACAAAAUUCUCACAGCCUCUGAUCCUGGAUCAGUCACGGAACACACAGGCUCUGCUGAUAUCCUGGCCAGAGUUUCAUAUGUACAUAUGAUAUGUAACUUUUUAACAGUUACCUAGUAUUCCGUUUCAUGAAUGUGUCAUAAUGUAUUCAACUUCUCCUUUGAUGAUGGACAUUUAGGUUUUUCUAGCAAUUUACUAACAUAAAUAAUGCCAGGAUGCACUUUGCUGGACCUUGACCACCCACAUACACGCUCAUACUCACACUGUUCUUUCUUGACCAAACUCAUCAAGCUCAUAACUGCUGAAUUGUGAUUUUUGUGUUUUUAAGGAACUUUCCAUCACACCACCACUGUGUCACAUUGUAUGUUCCUGUGACCACUUUGAGGAAGGGAAGGGGGGAGGGGACACCGGGGUCUGCAAUAUCUAGACUUUGUCUUCAUUCUCUUCCGUUCACCAAAUAUAGUCCAGCUGUAAAAAGACAUGAGCUCUAUGAAGUUUACCUAAAAUUAGAAGAAAGAAAAGGUUCGAUUUUCUCUAGAAGCCCCACUUGCCUUCUCAUCUCCCUGGGCCACCUGGGAGUGCAGGAGGGGUACCUUUCUCCUAAUCUGUUCUUCCUCAUAGCCUCUGCUUCCAGCCUGUCAAUUCACAAGAACUGUUAAAAACCUUGACAUUUCCAAUUUCUCUUCUUUUUCCAUUGUCUAAGAGCUGCUAUGCCCCAAGCCACAGAAAGUUCCUAUCACAACCCUCCAGCCUCAAAGAGGUAACAUUGCCCCCAGACCAAUGCCUGACUUCUUAGUCCUUGUCUUGGUCUUCUGCUGAAUGGUCCUGGCCUUGCCCAUCUCAUACUGCCUCUGUCCUGCCAAUCCAUCACUCUGAAGCUAUAAGUCAGCACCUCUGGCUAACUAAAUGCAGCAUCUCUCAGAAGAAUGUCUGAGAGAUGUGUUCUUUCUGCUUCUGAUGCCUGAUAUUUUAAAAAUAAUGUCUUUACAAAUGUCAUUUGUAAAAUGGCAUUUGUAAAAAUAAUGUCAUUUAUAAAAAUAAUGUCUUUACAAACCUCUCUGGGCUAACUUCUGUUUAGAAGUCCUAGAACUUGGCUCUAACACCCUCCAGAUCUCCAGGUACUACCUGGUUACACUUUCUGUCCUUCUUUCAUUGCUGAUAAAUAAGCUUUCUCUUCUUUAACUUGCAGAACAUUUUUUCCCCAUUUUUUUCUCCUGAGCUUCCACAUUCUCAGUUCCAUGACAACACGCCACCAACCCCUUUUCCAGUCCUUAGAACAGAAGUCCUCUUCCUCCUCCUCCCCGCCAUGCCCAGCAGGGAGUAAAAACACAGACUGAAACUGUCCCCUCUCCUACCCUGCUCUUCUCCAUCAGCAUUCUCAACUCCACAGGGGCACCCAGGAAAACUCCCAGCCCGCUUGGAAUAUAGCCUUCCUUCAGGUCACAGCAUUUGCUGAUAUUUUAUAAAUAAAACUUUCUCUUACUGGUACUUGGUAAACUGAAUGAACAAGUUGUUGUUUAGUUGCUAAGACCCUGGUUUGAUCCCUGGGUUGGGAAGAUCCCCUGGAGGAGGAAAUGGCAACCCACUCCAGUCUUCUUCCCUGGAGAAUUCCAUGGACAGGGGAGCCUGGCAGGCUACCAUCAUUGGAGUUGCAAAGAGUCAGACACAGCUGAGCGACUAACCCUUUCUCUUUUCACGUUGUUUUAAAGGGUAUUACGAAUGCUGCACUAUUGGCAUUAGUAGAUACAUUUACUUUAAAGACUCAAUUUUAUCACAAGCUUCAAAACAGAGUCAGGAAUGGUGUACAAAUUAUGGUCCCUAUCUCGUGAUUUUUUUUGGUUUUCCAAAGCCUAAUUUUUUUUUUUUCUAGAUCUGGGUACAUGAGUGAUUCUUUAUCCUGUGAAGGUAGCAUUUUAUCUCUGCGUGGGUCCCUAGUUCCUAUUUAUUCAUGAGAUUUAGAAGAAAGGAGCUCAAGAAGAAUGUUAUUCAACUUGAAACAAAAUUUUUACUGAGAAAAUAAGGCUUGAAGCAGAAGAAAUCCCAGCUGGCCUAUUUCCAUUAUCUAAUUAAGAAGGUAAAUCAAGGGAGUUACCAUGCUUCCUGAGCUACUAGGGAAGCCCUCCAGUGCAGGGAGCAUGGGUCUGAUGUCUGGUUGGGGAACUAAGAUACCACAUACUGCAUAAUAUGGCCAAAAAAAGGGGGGAGGAGUGGAUCAGUAUACGAUUGUUUGCUGAUUUGAUUAAUUUGGAAAGUGAAAGUGAAGUUGCUCAGUUGUGUCCGAUUCUUUGCAACCCCAUGGACUGUAGCCUACCAGGCUCCUCCAUCCAUGGAGUUUUCCAGGCUAGAGUACUGGAGUGGGUUGCCAUUUCCUUCUCCAGGGUAUCUUCCUGACCCAGGGAUCGAACCCAGGUCUCUCACAUUGCAGGCAGACGCUUUACCUUCUGAGCUACCAGGGAAGCCCCAGAUUAAUUUGGGGAGUGAUCAGUUACAUUUAUGGUAUUCAAUGUCUCAGUCUAUAAUAAUGCAUGUAUGUAUAUGGCUCUUUAAAAGACAGAAUCUCUAGUCUCCCCAGUUCUACUGGAACCAACACUUCUAUGCUGUCCCAGGAUAGUUUCUCCUUUGGGGGUCCCAGAGUGUGGCAUGUCUACCGCUAGAGGUGCCCGAGAUGACUUUGGGAGGUAUGUGAACACAUUUUAAAAUUUCAAAUGGUUUCCAGUAUUUAUUUUACAAUAGAUUACUUUUCUUUAGCUACAGUGGAUCAUUUUUCUACUGAUAUUAAUAGAAAAAAAACAUAGUUUGUGAGUCUACAGGUACUAUUGCUUAGGAUGAGAUUAAGGUGUCACUAAUAGAUACAAAGAUAAAUAUUAAGUAAAAGCUACAAUAAAAAGUACCCAAAUAUGACAGAAACCAGGAAGGCAGUACAAGGUGACCCAGGUUGAGAAGACCCUGCUGUCUUGUGCUGCCUGAAACAUUAUGAGUUCAGAAAUGUGAUACCUGACCCUCAUCCAUCCUUCUUCCUGCAAUAUUCCAAACAGCCAAGGUAAGUUAAUUUAGUGGCUGGCUCUCUGUGUUCCCCGUUUCCUGCAUAGAUGGUGCAGCAAAGCAGAAUCCACAGACUGAACUAAUUGUGCUGCAUUUAGGUAUCAGAGGCGACACCAGGGAUUUAUAUGUUUGGUGGCCAUUGAUUUCACUUGGGUUUAUUUUACUUUAGAGAAAGACGAAGAAGGAGGUAGUAAUCUCUUCCCCAGGAGCCCCAAACAGCUGAUUCGGGGUCACAGGACUUGCUGGCCUGGAAGCAUUUCAAUACCACGCUCAGGCCCUCACAGAGCAAAUCCCAUGACUCCACGGGACUGCCCACACUCACUGUUGUGCCAGAAUGCCCCUGUGAAUGAUAUGCUGCAACAAGUAGGUGCUGCAAAACUCUUGAUAUUUUAUAAGAAUUUUAUGGGAAGAAGGUACUCGAUUUUGGUGGAUUUAGUUUAGUUUAACAAUUGUCAUUUAUUUAUUGAAGUAAAACCUUUUCCAGAAAGGAUAUGAGAUGACUUACAAAAAUACACAUAAUAAGAUUAAAACUUUAAACAAGUAAGUGAGGAAACCAAAGCAAAAGGAAAGUGAGAAAGUGAGAGCAGGAAAGAUAAAAUGGAGCCAAGAGUGAGAUCUGUCACCAAAAUGUAUUGAGAACAGGCUCUGCGGUUGCUAACGGUGGUGGUGGAGUGGCCUCUUGGCUUCCUCACAGCAAGACAGUGAAUCAGUAACGAGUGAUGAGCCCAUGGUGACCCUGAUUUUUUUUCCUAAAAGGAGAACACAAACAAGCAGCUGCUCAGGUCAAGGCUAAGCAUACCAUGUGCUGAGAUCAGCGGAGUUUCUAGUGGACACGUGAUGCCUUCCAUAAAAUCCCCAGUAACGCCCCUAGGAUGUACCACAGUGGCUUCACAGGGCCAUUUACUACCGGGUUGUUAAGCAGAGGUGGCCAGUUGAUUUUUGAUAAAUAUCUGAAGGCAGUUCAGUAGAGAUAGGACAGUCUUUGAACAAAUGGUGUUGAAACAAUUAGAUAUUUACAUGCAAAUGAUGAACUUUGAUCAUCAUAUAAAAACUAACUCAAAUAGAUCACAUUUUCAUUUUAAUUUAAUAGCUUUAUUGAAGUAUAAUAAAUGGCAUAUUGCUCAUACUUACGUGUGCAGUUACAUAACUUUGACACACACACACACACACACACCCCCAGGAAAAAUGGAACAGCUGCUGAGGGAAGGCAGACUAUCACCAUCAGUCAAGAUUCAGUUGCAGAGAACAAAGUCUACUCUAACAGAAAAAUCCACUCUAGUUUACACAGAAAAACAUAUUUCAAGGUAUUAAAAUGACGUAUGGGAUCAUUACAAGGGCAAACAAUAUAGGCUGUAUACUGAGCUUCUAGGAACAGCUCUCAGUCUCAUGACCAUAGUUGCCACAGUCAGCAAGCUGCCUCUGAGUAAACUAGGAAGCCACCCAAACUUCCGCUGGCCUCAGAGCUCUGCCUCUUCUUCUGGGCUCCUCAUUAGUGAAUAGAUGGCAUGUGUCCUGCCUCUCCUCACAUCAGUUCCAAAUUCAAGUCUUGCAUCUAAUUGUAGAAACCUAACUGACAUCUCGAAAUUUAGCUUCAAGAAAGUCUGGGAAAUGCAGUUUUUAGUUUUCUAGCUUCUGCAGUAUGGGAAGGCACUUUAGAAGGAGCUUGGGAUAGACAUUGAACAAGCAAAUCCACAAUAUCCAUCAUGCUGUGAAAGCAGUUGGUUUGAGGGGGAAAAUAAGGAGUUCAGUUUUGUACAUGAUAACUUUAAAGUAUCUUUUAGAUAUACUAGUAGAGAUGUAUAGUAGGAAGUGGAAGAAAAUGCAGUAUGAUGUAGUGGUACAAGCACAGAUUCUGGGUUUGGGUUCAGUCUGGGUCUUGAACCCAGUCUGCUUGGAUUCAUAUCAUACCUCUAUCAUUUAUUGAGCUUCCCUCAUGUAAAGAAUCCACCUGCAAUGCAGGAGACCCCGGUUAGGCUCCUGAGUUGGGAAGAUUCCCUGGUGGUUUAGACGGUAAAGAAUUUGCCUGCAACA